UGAGGGAGCUGCGCAUUUUAGCAGCGAUACUGUUGUUGUUUCAGAGAUGAUUGUUAUCGGGUUGUAUGUUUUCCAUUAUUUUAAUGUUAGAUCUGUCUGUCUUAGUGAUGAUUUUGAAUCCAAUCCAGUUGUAUUUUUUAGCUGUUAGCCCACGUGGAGAGAGAAUAUGUGGGGUCUGCUCCGACGAUUAUUUUGUUUAUUUAACGGUGGUCGAUCUUUCUAGAGUAGAAAUUUGUGAUUUAUUGCCUGGCGACUGGCCCGAGUGGGAGAACUUAUGUCAUUCUGUGAGGUGAAAUGUGAAGCCAAUAAGAG
RNAcentral lists this unclassified non-coding RNA (312 nucleotides) under Hevea brasiliensis (rubber tree). Lineage: Eukaryota; Viridiplantae; Streptophyta; Magnoliopsida; Malpighiales; Euphorbiaceae. The record is from RNAcentral.